Molecule: non-coding RNA, 237 nt
Organism: Salmo salar (Atlantic salmon)
Lineage: Eukaryota; Metazoa; Chordata; Actinopteri; Salmoniformes; Salmonidae
Source: RefSeq, a predicted model, not a curated record
GUGACUGGUCUAUGGGUCUACCUAUAGAGUUUAGAGAGGGAGACUUUUCUACUGAACAAAGUCCAAUCAAGCAGGAGAGACCAACCUCCCCUGUUCCCAGCUGUGUGUCCAUGAAGAGUGACCGGUCUAUGGGUCAACCUAUAAACUUUAGAGAAGGAGACUUUUCUACUGAACAAAGAAACCAACAGGAGAGAUCAGAGUCAGAUAUUCUCAGUGGUCAGUCUUCCCAGAGUCAUC